Molecule: ribosomal RNA, 497 nt
Filed under: uncultured bacterium
Lineage: Bacteria
Description: partial 16S ribosomal RNA
Rfam family: Bacterial small subunit ribosomal RNA
Source: RNAcentral
GAUGAACGCUGGCGGCGUGCCUAAUACAUGCAAGUCGAGCGAACGGACGAGAAGCUUGCUUCUCUGAUGUUAGCGGCGGACGGGUGAGUAACACGUGGAUAACCUACCUAUAAGACUGGGAUAACUUCGGGAAACCGGAGCUAAUACCGGAUAAUAUUUUGAACCGCAUGGUUCAAAAGUAAAAGACGGUCUUGCUGUCACUUAUAGAUGGAUCCGCGCUGCAUUAGCUAGUUGGUAAGGUAACGGCUUACCAAGGCAACGAUGCAUAGCCGACCUGUGAGGGUGAUCGGCCGCACUGGAACUGAGACACGGUCAAGACUCCUACGGGAGGCAGCAGUAGGGAAUCUUCCGCAAUGGGCGAAAGCCUGACGGAGCAACGCCGCGCGAGUGAUGAAGGUCUUCGGAUCGUAAAACUCUGUUAUUAGGGAAGAACAUAUGUGUAAGUAACUGUGCACAUCUUGACGGUACCUAAUCAGAAAGCCACGGCUAACUACGUG